RNAcentral lists this ribosomal RNA (506 nucleotides) under uncultured bacterium. Its description in RNAcentral is "partial 16S ribosomal RNA". It matches the Rfam family "Bacterial small subunit ribosomal RNA", at positions 28 to 523 of the family's 1533-position model. The record is from RNAcentral.
GAUGAACGCUAGCUACAGGCUCAACACAUGCAAGUCGAGGGGUAACAAGAGGAAAGCUUGCUUUUCUUGUUGACGACCGGCGCACGGGUGAGUAACGCGUAUCCAACCUGCCUAUAACUAGGGAAUAACCUUGCGAAAGUAAGACUAAUACCCUAUGAUUUCCUUUGAUGGCAUCAGAUUAGGAAUAAAGAUUUAUCGGUUAUAGAUGGGGAUGCGUCUGAUUAGCUUGUUGGCGGGGUAACGGCCCACCAAGGCAACGAUCAGUAGGGGUUCUGAGAGGAAGGUCCCCCACAUUGGAACUGAGACACGGUCCAAACUCCUACGGGAGGCAGCAGUGAGGAAUAUUGGUCAAUGGGCGGAAGCCUGAACCAGCCAAGUAGCGUGCAGGAUGACGGCCCUAUGGGUUGUAAACUGCUUUUAUACAGGAAUAAAGUUAGCCACGUGUGGUUAUUUGUAGGUACUGUAUGAAUAAGGACCGGCUAAUUCCGUGCCAGCAGCCGCAGUAA